This is a long non-coding RNA of Camelus dromedarius (Arabian camel), 1184 nucleotides long. RefSeq lists it as uncharacterized. The transcript has 9 exons. Lineage: Eukaryota; Metazoa; Chordata; Mammalia; Artiodactyla; Camelidae. The record is from RefSeq and is a predicted model, not a curated record.
CUGGGUUUCAAUCCGAAUCUCGCUGUGCUCUUCUCCCGCGCCUCUCUUCCUUGUCCUAAAACAAUCAGCAAGGCACAGGGGCAGAGCUGACAUCGGCCUUGGGCACCACCGACCACGACCACGGCUGAUCUUCCUUCAACGUCCUCUUCCCAGAUUCUCAGCUGGAGACAGAUGAGGAAACUGAUGGUCAACAAGAUGCCCUUUUGCCCGGGUUCUGGAAAGUGAUGGAGGCAGCUUCAGACGCAGUUAUGGAAAUUGAGGCUCAGAGCUGUUACGCAAUGUGGAGGGUGAAAGAAUCAAGCCACUCAGAUCCUUCCAGGCACUAGAGGAAGGAAUGAACUGGGAUUCAGAAGAUUCCAGUCUCUCCGCCACUGCCUUGCUGGGUGCUGAGUGGUACCUCUUGUUCCUGGAAGAUUGGGUCCUCAUGGAAGAGAUGCUCUCCAUGAGAGAGGAGUGGGCUCUCCUUCCCACACACGCCAUCCACAGCGCUCCCUUGAACUUCAAAGAGAAGCCCCCCACCAGGAAGCUGGACUUGUUCUAAGACAUGGCGAGGAGGUGGCUGUAGGCAAGCCGUAAGCAAAGCCCUCACCGGAGCGUGAUCAAGCUGCCACCCUCUUCUCAGCCCUCCAGCCUCCAGAACGGAGCCACUGCAUCUGAGCAGGAGGGCACAGUACAUCCUGCCACCAGGAGUUAAGCCACCUUCCUCCUGGCCCAGGGAACACAGGCGAGGCAAGAAGAAAACCUUCCCGUGGCUCAGUCCUAGGGAACCAAAGGCAGGAGGGGAACUCCAGGCUUCCAGAAGUCACGUUGGGAACCAUCAGCACGUCUCCCUUGCAGACACGGAUGACCCCUCACGAUGGGUCCUACCAAGAAAGAGAGCAUGUGUUCUUUUGAUCAAGCCAUAUGCAGUGUUGAACUGUCUCACGCAACUGGAGCUCAUCCAUUUGCUUCUGUGCCGUGACCUGUGAGAGCUUCUCCCGGAGCCUGUGCCGAGGACCGAUACAAGGUAGCCCAGCACUGGCAUUUCUGCAGUUGUGACCGAAACAGGAUGUACAGAAGCUAAACACACAAGCUCCGGAUUCAGAUUUCCAACGUCAAAUGUUGGUCUUUGCCACUCACCCCUUGUGCGUUCUUAAACUUAACCUUAACCUUAACCUCUCUGCACCUCAGUGCCCUUACCUGCA